Molecule: ribosomal RNA, 430 nt
Filed under: uncultured bacterium
Lineage: Bacteria
Description: bacterial SSU rRNA
Rfam family: Bacterial small subunit ribosomal RNA
Source: RNAcentral
GGGCCCGCACAAGCGGUGGAGCAUGUGGUUUAAUUCGAUGAUACGCGAGGAACCUUACCAGGGCUUAAAUGUAGAUUGCAUAAGCUAGAGAUAGCUUUUUCUUCGGACUAUCUACAAGGUGCUGCAUGGUUGUCGUCAGCUCGUGCCGUGAGGUGUCAGGUUAAGUCCUAUAACGAGCGCAACCCCUGUCGUUAGUUGCCAACAGGUUAUGCUGGGAACUCUAACGAGACUGCCGGUGCAAACUGAGAGGAAGGUGGGGACGACGUCAAAUCAUCACGGCCCUUACGUCCUGGGCUACACACGUGCUACAAUGGUCGGUACAGAGAGCAGCCACCUUGCGAAAGGGAGCAAAUCUUUAAAACCGGUCUCAGUUCGGAUCGCAGUCUGCAACUCGACUGCGUGAAGCUGGAAUCGCUAGUAAUCGCAUAUC